ACGAACGCUGGCGGCGUGCUUAACACAUGCAAGUCGAACGGAAAGGCCCUGCUUUUGUGGGGUGCUCGAGUGGCGAACGGGUGAGUAACACGUGAGUAACCUGCCCUUGACUUUGGGAUAACUUCAGGAAACUGGGGCUAAUACCGGAUAGGAGCUCCUGCUGCAUGGUGGGGGUUGGAAAGUUUCGGCGGUUGGGGAUGGACUCGCGGCUUAUCAGCUUGUUGGUGGGGUAGUGGCUUACCACGGCUUUGACGGGUAGCCGGCCCGAGAGGGUGACCGGGCACCAUGGGACUACGAGCGGCCCCAGACGCGUACGGGAGGCAGCAGUGGGGAAUAUUGCACAAUGGCGGCAAGCCUGUUACAGCAAUCCCCGGAGCGGGAAGAUGGCUUACGGGUGAAGAACCGAUUUGGCCGUUACCAAAGCGGGAUUGACGGUAAGUGAUAAGAAAGCCCCGGCUAACUACGUG
Molecule: ribosomal RNA, 467 nt
Filed under: uncultured bacterium
Lineage: Bacteria
Description: partial 16S ribosomal RNA
Rfam family: Bacterial small subunit ribosomal RNA
Source: RNAcentral